UACGGAGGAUGCGAGCGUUAUCCGGAUUUAUUGGGUUUAAAGGGUGCGCAGGCGGCGAGUUAAGUCAGCGGUAAAAUUUCGGGGCUCAACCCCGACAAGCCGUUGAAACUGGCUUGCUAGAGUGGGCGAGAAGUAUGCGGAAUGCGUGGUGUAGCGGUGAAAUGCAUAGAUAUCACGCAGAACUCCGAUUGCGAAGGCAGCAUACCGGCGCCCAACUGACGCUCAGGCACGAAAGCGUGGGUAUUGAACAGG
This 252-nucleotide ribosomal RNA is filed under the name uncultured bacterium. Its description in RNAcentral is "partial 16S ribosomal RNA". It matches the Rfam family "Bacterial small subunit ribosomal RNA", at positions 524 to 776 of the family's 1533-position model. The record is from RNAcentral.